RNAcentral lists this unclassified non-coding RNA (220 nucleotides) under uncultured Tomentella. RNAcentral describes it as "sequence contains ITS2". The record is from RNAcentral. Lineage: Eukaryota; Fungi; Basidiomycota; Agaricomycetes; Thelephorales; Thelephoraceae.
ACACCUCAACUCUCAUGGUUUGCCGUGAUGAGCUUGGACUUUGGAGGUUUUUGCUGGCCCACGGUCGGCUCCUCUCAAAUGAAUUAGCUUGCCAGUUUUCGGUGGCGUCACAGGUGUGAUAACUAUCUACGCUCGUGGUCGUCCGCCGGGUAACCUUUCGGUGACGGAGGUUUGCUGGAGCUUAUAAAUGUCUCUCCUCAGCGAAGACAGCUAUUCGAAC